RNAcentral lists this unclassified non-coding RNA (5868 nucleotides) under Amphibalanus amphitrite. RNAcentral describes it as "serine/arginine repetitive matrix protein 2-like, transcript variant X2". The record is from RNAcentral. Lineage: Eukaryota; Metazoa; Arthropoda; Thecostraca; Balanomorpha; Balanidae.
UCAGGUGACUCCGCGGCCGGCCACCGCCGCCGCUGAUUGGCUGGGACAGCGGGCGGCAGGACUCGAGGGGGCUGAGUGAGUACUGACAGCGAGACGCGGAGAGGUGACAGCGGGCGCGGUGUGAUGAAGAUUGCGGUGAUAAUCUGAUUGUCGAUAAUAUCAGUGAUCGGGUGCUGAUCGUUCAUAGCACCGGAGAAGAGAUCCGACGUCAGCUGGUGAACUGGGGAUUCGAGAGGAUACAUCCGAAAUCACACAGAUGAUGCGGUGAAGACGUGAAGCCGAGGUUCCAGAAUCGGCUCAGAGAUGGCGACUGCUGCCAGCGGCCGCUAUGGCCCCUAUGCUGCGGGAGGUGGUGUGGUGCCCACCACCCGGCGAGCGCCCAGUCGGGAGAGCUACCUGCAGGCGUCCCGCUCGGACGACCAUCUGGAUGCCUCCUGCCAGGUGGACAUUUCGCACGAGGUGAUCUCGUACGACUCUGACACGGAGAUGGGCCGCCGGCGGACAGAGCUGACGCGCAACAAGCGCGGCACGCCCGUCUACUCCAAGGAGGACAUCCGCGAACAGUACUGCAUCAACGAGAAGGAGGUGCACGUGCUGGAGCGGCUCACCUCGCGCUCCAUCCUCAACUGCUUCUCCGAGCGAAAUCCGAGCCCCUGCAAGAAGCAGAACCUGCUGACCUCCUGCUACAAACGAAAACGAAAGUCCGACUGCCCGGAGGACUCGGCCCGUCCCCUGCCGCGGCCGCAGCGUACCUGGCAGGGCUCCGAGCGAGACUACGACGACGACUUCUUCCGACGGCGGCCCAGGGUGUUCUGCUACACAGACCCGAAGCGCUACACAUGGACGGAAGGAGACGUGGCGAGGGGGCGACUGCGGCCCCACUCGCCCCCCGAGUCCGGCUGGCCUCCAUCCGCCGCCGGCGGGCCCCUGGCCGCCCGAGACGGCAUGCUCACCGGUCCGGGAGUGCCACGACACGCCGACGGACGCAGGCGAAACGGCAGCGCAGAGGACCGGCUGGUUCUCACCCAGCCGAGCAGCCCCGACCUGAGCUCUGCCCGGUGGAGACACGCCAGCCACGACCAGGGUCUGGAUGAUCGGCAUCAAAAGCACGUCAGCUUUGAACAGCACAUCUUCAGGUCCCAGACAAUGUCGAGUAUAGACGACACGGUGAAUGGAGGCCAUCCGUCCCAGGUCUCGCUUCCGGGACGGACUCUCAACAGGAGCCAGGAGCGGCUGCUGGACGGGCGGCGAACACCCGAUUACAUGGAGGAGAGUUGCAAUCUGUUCGGGCCCUUCCUGACCAAGGCGCUGCUGCAGGAGAAGAUGAAGCGGUCCUCCAUGCGAACCCAGUCGACACAGACAGAUCUGAACUCCACGGCCGAGCCCGCGCCGCCCUCCUAUCUCUCGCUGUCGCCGAGAACCGUGCACAAGAGACUGCGCUCGCAGGAGGCGCCGCCGCCGCCGCGGGCCCGCUCGCACCGGCCGCUGACCAAGAGCCACUCGGAGGUGGGCGAGCGGCCGGGGCCGGCGCUGCGGCGCCGCAGCCCGCCGCCGGCCGAGCUGAGCCGAGCCGUCUCCUCGCCGAUCACGACCCCCGACUCGCCGCGGAGUCCGCCGCCGCCGCUGCCGCUCUCGCUGCCACCGCCGCCGUCGCCGCCGGCCCAGGACCGCUCGCCGACCACUCAGGAGAUCAUCAUCGACUACAAGCCGUGCGAGCGGCCGUUCCCGCUGCAGAAGACGCUCUCCGAGGGUGAGAUGCUGUCGGAGCGGCGAGGUAAAGAGCGGACGGCGGCGGCCGAUGUUGAUCUCGCGCGCGGGGGCGCCCCUCGCCAGUCGGUCAUUGACAAACUGACCGUGUCCGAGUCUGAUCUGCUGGAGCCGAGUGGCGGUCGGCUGUGGGCGCACGAGCAGAUGCAGCGCUCCGCCGCCGAGCUGCCGCCGCCCCCGCCGCCACGAGACUAUGAUGACGAUGAGUUUCACGAGAAUCUCAUUGAAAACCUGCUGUGCGAGGCAGUACCGCAGGCGGAGCCCAUGUCAAGCGACAGCGAGGCGGGCGAGGUGGGUCACGAACCCGGCUCACCGCCGCGCUCUACUCUAACCCUGACCCGCGACAGCCUCAGUGAGUCGCAGGAGACGGUGCUGCACGUGGCCGGUGAUACUCCGCUGCCGCUGCCCUCGGACUCUGAGGCGAGCACGCCGGCCGCGCUGGUACCGCCCCCUCCCCCGCCCCCGCCCCCGCCCGAGCCGGAGUCGGGCUCCGACUGCGACUCGCCGGCGGGCGGCGGCACGGGAGGCACCGACAACGGCGCGCGCUCUUCGGCCUCUGGCUCUGUGCCCUCCCUGGCGCGCGAGGAAGCGCUGGUGCUCAAACAGCUGGACGCCAUCAGUACGGAGCUGGACCACCGUCUGGCCUCGCCCGAGGAGCUGAGCCGACUCAGCCCGCCGCCGCCGCCCCCGCCGCCGCCCCCGCUGGAAGGCUGGAAAGACGCCAGUCCAGCUCCUAGUCAGGUCUCUUCUGUCAGUGAGGGUGACGAAGAUAGAAAGUUGGAUAAGUUUAUGCGUACGCUCAAUGACGGUUUCGAGAGUGAUGUGACGAUCACGGCCGAGAAGCGAUCGAAAAGGUCGCCGCUGGGCCGGUCGGCGGCGCCCAGUGGCUCCUCAUCGGCCGAGAGCAGUCAGCGGCGGCCGUCAGCCUCUCAGAGCGGCGGCACUGUGACGGGUGACGCCGCCGCCGACGGCAUCCGACCGCCGUCGCGGGUCGAGUCGCUCUCCUCGGCGUCGUCGAUUGUCGGCUCGGAGGCCAGCUGGCGCCGAGGCGAGGCCUCCGACGGCAGCGGAGUGUCGGACUCGACCCGCAGACAGCCGUCCGUAAAACGGUACUCGCGCUACUUUGAGGAGGACGCCGCCGGCCAGCUGGUCGAGGUCGACACUCCCGGAUCGCUCGCCUCGUCCUCCCCCGACAAGCGUGCCGGAGGUAGUGAGCAUCGGGCUAAUAGCUUGACGCGCCGUCAGCUCUCCAAGCAGUUCAGUGUGGACGAGCCGGAGCGUGCGGGCCGCGCGCUGAGUCUUCAGCUGAGCUCCGGUGGCCGCUCUCGGCGGAGGGGAGAGGACUCCACGGCCGGGAGCAGGAGGGACGCGCCCUCCGACCUCCAGGAGGAGACCGGGGAGAGUGCCGCCGAUGACGUCAGCUCCCGCGCCGAGCGCAGUAAGACGGAUGAGCGCUGGACCAAGCGCGGCGUGGGGGUCACCAGUGGAAUGGUGCGCAGUCCGGCCAUGCACGACGGCUUCCGCGCGGCCGACUGGAGCAUAGUGCGCACCCCACAGACUCCCGACAAGCCCCGACCAGGUGUGGAGGCGGCCGCAGAGCAGAACGGUGCCACCGAAACGCCUCGUAAACGUGAGAAGAAGCACAAAAAGCGCUCCAAAGAGCGCACCGUGAACGGAUCUCGGGAGGACUCGGGCAGCCGGAGUCGGGAGCGCACCAGCAGCCGGCGUCACACCAAGCACCGCUCACCGAAGCGGCGCUCCACGGCCUCGGAGCCGUGCGCGCCGGCUCCGGCCGCUCCGGAGACGACGGUGUCGGCCCGGCCACCGGCCAGCUCCAGUACCGACCUGCGGCCGGAGGCCGGCGGCGGGCUGGCGGCCGAGUCGGUACGCUCGGUCGGCCGUGCGGUCAGUCCUGGCAGUGACAGCGUGUUCGCGGCCGACUGCUCGCCCGAGAGGACCGGAGCGCUGCGCACCGCGCGGCUGGACGCCGUCUCGCGCUGUCCGUCCGAGCGUGCCCAGUGCGCCAGCUGCGGCGAGCGGCUGCGGACGCCAGAGGCGGACCGGUCGCGGAGCGCCUCCGGUGGUGACGGUCGGCCGGCCCCGUCAGGUGAGCAGGACGCCCAGACAGAACGGCCGGCGGCGGAGGCGGGGUCAGGGACCCGGAAAGACGCCAGUGUCAGAACCAGUGAGAUCAAACAGGCGGGACAGGCAACGGAGGUGAAUGGUGCUGUGGUUAGACCAAGUGAAGCGGUGGGUACGGAACCGCUGGCCGUGACGGCGGAUCAGAAACAGGCCACUGCACCUGUCCAGGACGGCCUGGCGGAAAGCUCAACCGCAGAGCACAGUGCCAAACAUAGGAAACGCGAGAAGCGCCGUCAGGCGUCCACAUCGGAGCAGCCUCCGGCUAACAACCGGACAGAGACCGCGACUGAAGUGUCGCCAUUGCCUGCGACUGAGGUGGCAGCAUCAGGGGCUGCCGGCGGCACUGCGCCCCAGGAGCCGGCCGCUGGAGGCAAACAGCCCUCCCAGCCGCUAUCUAAGCUGUCGGCCGUAGACGCGUCCACCUCUGUGAGGCAGCAGCCGCGCGGCUCGAGCCGGCGGCGCCGCUCGGGCCGGCCGGACCGCGGCGCCUCGGAGGAGCGGGUACUGGAGCCGCCGCCGAGGCCGACCGCCGACAGCUGCAGGGCCCGCUCGGAGGAGCGCUGUGGGGACGACUGGAGGCAGCUGCAGCCCAGUCCGCGGGCCAGCCAGGACUCGCUCUCCCGUCCGACGGACGCGGCCACCCAAUGUACCAUCUCGGCACGAGACCUUCCCGACGAGGAAUCCGGCCUGUACAAGGGCCACUUUCCGGCCGCCCGCUGGCUCUACAUCGGUACCGAUGAGGAGCUGCGAGUGUGGCGGCGCGCUCCCCGACAGGCGACCCUAUCAGAGGAGCCGACUGCGUCGACACCGCUCGCCCGGUGUCCCUCCACCGAGUCAACCGAGAGUGAGCGGGAGUUCCGGCGGCGCUACCAGGCCAUCUCUCACAGGAUGGUGCACAGAAAGUCGUCCGGACACAUGUUCACCCACUCGGCCGGCGGCACGUUCGACCCGGGCCUGGAGCCGGCCUCCCUCCGUCAGCGUCUGGAGGCCACUCUCCGGCAGGCGGCCAUCACCUGCGCGCGGCUCCACUGCAGUCUGGAGACGCGCCUGCGCCCGCUGCGCCGCCUAGCCGGCGACAAGACGGUGAUGAUGCAGAAGUGCAGCGGCGAGUUCGGGUUCCGCAUCCACGGCUCCCGACCCGUGGUCGUAUCGGCUAUCGAGCCCGGCACGCCAGCGCAGCUGUCAGGUCUGCAGGUGGGCGACAUCAUCGUCUCCAUCAACGGCAGCCGGGUGCUGGACUCGAGUCACGGUGAUGUGGUCCGGAUCGCGCACGCCGCCUCCGACCAGCUGCAGCUCGAGGUGGCCAGCACGGGCUCUGUGCUGCCGGUGCCGGCCGACUGGAGCUGCCGCCGUCAGGGCUGGCUGUGGCGCCGCAGCGGCCCGGCCGGUGUCGCCCCAUCCGGUACCGCCGCCGACUGGAGGCGGCGCUGGGCCGUCCUGCAGCCGGACGCCCUGCUGUUCCUGUACAAACGAGCCGAGGACGUGCACCCGGUGCUGGGGCUCAGCCUGGCGGACUGUUCAGUCACUGCUGGUUCCGACUGCGGCCGAGAGAUGGCGUUCACAGUGCGCGGCGCCGGCUCGGAGCCGGUAGCGCUGGCUGCUGAGACAGAGUCCGAGAGGGACGACUGGCUGGAAGCGCUCCGUUCUGCUGCUGAGGAGGCUGCCGCGACUCGUGUGCGACUAGCCCGCUGCUGCACUUGUGUGGCUGACGCCGGUGCCGCCACAUUUAAACGCCACCAUCAGCUCGGCAUGGCGCCCUGCAUGACACCCUGUGGCCGUUCAAGCGGCUGAGUCCGGCUCGGCUGCUGGCUGUGGCAGCUGCCGGCUGUAGCAGCUGCCGUCAGUGUGGCAGCUAUCGACUGCAGCAGCUCUGAGGGCGGCCGGUGGCAGCUGGAGGCCCGCCGGUUCGCUGCCGGACCGCCCGACCUCAUCCCGGCACCCGACUGCUGCGGCUUCCUC